CCUACGGGUGGCAGCAGUGGGGGAUAUUGCACAAUGGGGGAAACCCUGAUGCAGCGACGCCGCGUGAGGGAAGAAGGAUUUCGGAAUGUAAAGCUCUAUUAGUAGUGAAGAAAAUGACGGUAACUGACGAAGAAGCUCCGGCUAACUACGUGCCAGCAGCCGCGGUAAUACGUAGGGAGCAAGCGUUAUCCGGAUUUACUGGGUGUAAAGGGUGCGUAGGCGGUGUGGCAAGUCAGAAGUGAAAGGCAGGGGCUUAACCUCUGGACUGCUUUUGAAACUGGCGUGCUUGAGUGCAGUAGAGGUAAGUGGAAUUACUGGUGUAGCGGUGAAAUGCGUAGAUAUUGGGAGGAACACCAGUGGCGAAGGCGGCUUACUGGACUGUAACUGACGCUGAGGCUCGAAAGCGUGGGUAGCAAACAGGAUUAGAUACCCUAGUAGUC
Molecule: ribosomal RNA, 440 nt
Filed under: uncultured bacterium
Lineage: Bacteria
Description: partial 16S ribosomal RNA
Rfam family: Bacterial small subunit ribosomal RNA
Source: RNAcentral